Molecule: ribosomal RNA, 358 nt
Filed under: uncultured Alphaproteobacteria bacterium
Lineage: Bacteria; Pseudomonadati; Pseudomonadota; Alphaproteobacteria
Description: bacterial SSU rRNA
Rfam family: Bacterial small subunit ribosomal RNA
Source: RNAcentral
CACGUGGGAAUUCUCCUCAAGGUACGGAACAACUCAGGGAAACUUGGGCUAAUACCGUAUGAUGCAGAGAUGCCAAAGAUUUAUCGCCUUGGGAUAAGCCCGCGUCAGAUUAGGUAGUUGGUGGGGUAAUGGCCUACCAAGCCUGUGAUCUGUAGCUGGUCUGAGAGGACGAUCAGCCACAUUGGGACUGAGACACGGCCCAAACUCCUACGGGAGGCAGCAGUGGGGAAUCUUGCGCAAUGGACGAAAGUCUGACGCAGCCAUGCCGCGUGAAUGAUGAAGGUCUUAGGAUUGUAAAGUUCUUUAGCCUGUGACGAUGAUGACGGUAACAGGAGAAUAAGCCCCGGCCAACUUCGUG